UGCUCUUCCGAUCUAUCUAAUGUGCACACAUUUUAUGGAACUUCAGAUGAUCAAGCAUGAUGCUGUAAGCCAAACUGUACAAGCAUCCUAUCUCACUUGCUACUGUAUUGAUGGUGAUUCUCUUGUCAGCAUGAAUCAUCAUCUCACCAUGCUUCAUAGUUGCCACAGCUGCAGUUUCCAAAGCCAGCCUGACCAAUCUACAUCAAUGACUUUCGUGUGUCCAUUAGCAAACUUCUUUACCCAGUUGUGUGCUAUUUAUCAUGAUAAUGUAUGCUGCCCAAAUGUAGGAACAGGUUCUUUGUGAAUGUUCUUCACCGUAAAUCCUUUUGCACACAAAAACCACACAACUGACUGUUUGCUCUUUGAUUAUACACUUUCCAACACAGUCACUAUGUUGUUGUGGACAUAGCACCAGCUGCAUUUACUGUGAGAGAUUCUUUCUUAUAGGUUGAAAGUUACCCUUUUACAUGGUACAAUCAGCAUAUCCAUACCAACAUAGUCAAGCCCUACUUGAAUUUAUAACUUACUGACUCUCUUUAUAUAAUUG
This 547-nucleotide long non-coding RNA is filed under the name Androctonus crassicauda. Lineage: Eukaryota; Metazoa; Arthropoda; Arachnida; Scorpiones; Buthidae. The record is from RNAcentral.